This 253-nucleotide ribosomal RNA is filed under the name uncultured bacterium. RNAcentral describes it as "partial 16S ribosomal RNA". It matches the Rfam family "Bacterial small subunit ribosomal RNA", at positions 524 to 776 of the family's 1533-position model. The record is from RNAcentral.
UACGAAGGGGGCUAGCGUUGUUCGGAAUUACUGGGCGUAAAGGGUGCGUAGGCGGUUUUUCAAGUCAGGCGUGAAAGCCCUGGGCUCAACCCAGGAAUUGCGUUUGAGACUGAAUGACUAGAGUGUGAGAGAGGUGAGUGGAAUUCCCAGUGUAGAGGUGAAAUUCGUAGAUAUUGGGAAGAACAUCAGUGGCGAAGGCGGCUCACUGGAUCACAACUGACGCUAAGGCACGAAAGCGUGGGGAGCAAACAGG